This 186-nucleotide non-coding RNA is filed under the name Bacillota bacterium. RNAcentral describes it as "Firmicutes bacterium (compost metagenome) 6S RNA". It matches the Rfam family "6S / SsrS RNA". From Rfam's summary of the family: E. coli 6S RNA was the first non coding RNA to be sequenced, but its function was unknown until recently. It consists of 184 nucleotides that fold into an extended hairpin structure with a large single-stranded internal bulge. The 6S RNA specifically associates with RNA polymerase holoenzyme containing the sigma70 specificity factor. The record is from RNAcentral. Lineage: Bacteria; Bacillati; Bacillota. RNAcentral also lists the same sequence under 1 other name.
GUCGCUCUGCCGUGUGCGUGGUCAAUCUGACCAUGUAUGAGCCAACACCUAUAACCGGGGAGCCUGGAACUCUGGCCGUGGAAGGCAUGCCCCUGAGCGGGGACGUCGGAAGCGGGCAGGAGGGCACCCACCUGCCGAGAGCAGGUUCAUCUUCGGUCAGGUCCCCAGCGGCACGGCGGGGUGCUU